GGGGAAUAUUGCACAAUGGAGGAAACUCUGAAGCAGCGACGCCGCGUGAGUGAAGAAGGUCUUCGGAUCGUAAAACUCUGUCCUUGGUGACGAAAAAAAUGACGGUAGCCAAGGAGGAAGCCCCGGCUAACUACGUGACAGCAGCCGCGGUAAUACGUAGGGGGCGAGCGUUGUCCGGAUUUACUGGGCGUAAAGGGUGAGUAGGCGGUAAUAUGUGUCAGAUGUAAAAGGCUAUGGCUUAACCAUAGUUAGCAUUUGAAACUGUAUUACUUGAGUGCAGGAAAGGUAAGGGGAAUUCCUAGUGUAGCGUUGAAAUGCGUAGAUAUUAGGAGGAACACCAGUGGCGAAGGCGACUUACUGGACUGUAACUGACGCUGAGUUACGAAAGCGUGGGUAGCAAACA
This 403-nucleotide ribosomal RNA is filed under the name uncultured bacterium. RNAcentral's name for it is "bacterial SSU rRNA". It matches the Rfam family "Bacterial small subunit ribosomal RNA", at positions 356 to 774 of the family's 1533-position model. The record is from RNAcentral.